UUUUAUAUGCUUUUCUUCUUAGAGGAAUGCUAAAUAAAAAUAAAACAAUAAAACUACUAAGUAUGGUCCAAUUGCCUUGUUGAUUCAAUCAACAAUCCCCGGCAACGGCGCCAUUUGAUGAAGUAUCAAAGUAAGUAUAUAAUUAUCGUAUCCACAUGGAUUGUUCUGAAUCAAAUAGGAGUAAAUUGGUAUCAUACGAGAGUAAUUUGCAAUAAAAUAAAUAGGGGGAAGUGUUCAGAUUUCAGACUUGAGAAAGUAAAUGACAAGAAAAUAAGGUUUUCUUUCAAGAUGCGAAGGCGAUUGGAUCUUUUCGGUUCAUCUGGUCACUAUUGUCUCGGAUAUCCCAUGCGUAUUAA
RNAcentral lists this long non-coding RNA (356 nucleotides) under Trifolium pratense (red clover). RNAcentral describes it as "long non-coding RNA (TPRA_LNC012137)". Lineage: Eukaryota; Viridiplantae; Streptophyta; Magnoliopsida; Fabales; Fabaceae. The record is from RNAcentral.